This 708-nucleotide small RNA is filed under the name Pongo abelii (Sumatran orangutan). RNAcentral's name for it is "retained intron". Lineage: Eukaryota; Metazoa; Chordata; Mammalia; Primates; Hominidae. The record is from RNAcentral.
GGGCUGCCGUCACCCGAAGUCAGGUAAAGUAUGGGAAGGCUCCCAAGCUCUUUCCCUUUUUCCUUAUUCUCCAUGGGGUCCAAGUCUAAUCCCCCACAUUAUGCUCAAUUUUAAGCCAUUCCCUACUUCACCCUUUCUAUGUUCCCUUCUCCUGGAUUCUUAGUGACCUCUUUCCACUUCUGAUCAGUCCCCCCAUCUCUCCUGCAGAAACGUGGCAUCUCAUCAGAAGAGGAGGAAGGAGAGGUAGACAGUGAAGUAGAGCUGACAUCAAGCCAGAGGUGGCCUCAGAGCCUGAACAUGCGCCAGUCACUAUCUACCUUCAGCUCAGAGAAUCCAUCAGAUGGAGAGGAAGGCACAGCUAGUGAACCUUCCCCCAGUGGCACACCUGAAGUUGGCAGCACCAACACUGAUGAGCGGCCAGAUGAGCGGUCUGAUGACAUGUGCUCCCAGGGCUCAGAAAUCCCACUGGACCCACCUCCUUCAGAGGUCAUCCCCGGCCCUGAAGCCAGCUCCCUGCCCAUUCCACACCAGGAACUUUUCAGAGAGCGGGGCCCUCCCAAUUCUGAGGACUCAGACUGUGACAGCACUGAAUUGGACAACUCCAACAGCGUUGAUGCCUUGCGGCCCCCAGCUUCCCUCCCUCCAUGAAAGUCACUCGUAUUCCUUGUACAUAGAGAAAUAUUUAUAUAAAUUAUAUAUAUAUACAUA